Molecule: ribosomal RNA, 1369 nt
Filed under: Vibrio cholerae O1 biovar El Tor str. N16961
Lineage: Bacteria; Pseudomonadati; Pseudomonadota; Gammaproteobacteria; Vibrionales; Vibrionaceae
Description: partial 23S ribosomal RNA
Rfam family: Bacterial large subunit ribosomal RNA
Source: RNAcentral
CCAUGCUUCCAGGAAAAGCCUCUAAGCUUCAGAUAGUCAGGAAUCGUACCCCAAACCGACACAGGUGGUCGGGUAGAGAAUACCAAGGCGCUUGAGAGAACUCGGGUGAAGGAACUAGGCAAAAUGGUACCGUAACUUCGGGAGAAGGUACGCUCUUGAUGGUGAAGUCCCUCGCGGAUGGAGCUGACGAGAGUCGCAGAUACCAGGUGGCUGCAACUGUUUAUUAAAAACACAGCACUGUGCAAAAUCGCAAGAUGACGUAUACGGUGUGACGCCUGCCCGGUGCCGGAAGGUUAAUUGAUGGGGUUAGCGCAAGCGAAGCUCUUGAUCGAAGCCCCGGUAAACGGCGGCCGUAACUAUAACGGUCCUAAGGUAGCGAAAUUCCUUGUCGGGUAAGUUCCGACCUGCACGAAUGGCGUAAUGAUGGCCACGCUGUCUCCACCCGAGACUCAGUGAAAUUGAAAUCGCUGUGAAGAUGCAGUGUACCCGCGGCUAGACGGAAAGACCCCGUGAACCUUUACUACAGCUUGGCACUGAACAUUGAACCUACAUGUGUAGGAUAGGUGGGAGGCUAUGAAGACGUGACGCCAGUUGCGUUGGAGCCGUCCUUGAAAUACCACCCUUGUAUGUUUGAUGUUCUAACUUAGACCCAUUAUCUGGGUUGAGGACAGUGCCUGGUGGGUAGUUUGACUGGGGCGGUCUCCUCCCAAAGAGUAACGGAGGAGCACGAAGGUGGGCUAAUCACGGUUGGACAUCGUGAGGUUAGUGCAAUGGCAUAAGCCCGCUUAACUGCGAGAAUGACGGUUCGAGCAGGUGCGAAAGCAGGUCAUAGUGAUCCGGUGGUUCUGUAUGGAAGGGCCAUCGCUCAACGGAUAAAAGGUACUCCGGGGAUAACAGGCUGAUACCGCCCAAGAGUUCAUAUCGACGGCGGUGUUUGGCACCUCGAUGUCGGCUCAUCACAUCCUGGGGCUGAAGUCGGUCCCAAGGGUAUGGCUGUUCGCCAUUUAAAGUGGUACGCGAGCUGGGUUUAGAACGUCGUGAGACAGUUCGGUCCCUAUCUGCCGUGGGCGUUGGAAGAUUGAAGGGGGCUGCUCCUAGUACGAGAGGACCGGAGUGGACGAACCUCUGGUGUUCGGGUUGUGUCGCCAGACGCAUUGCCCGGUAGCUAAGUUCGGAAUUGAUAAGCGCUGAAAGCAUCUAAGCGCGAAGCGAGCCCUGAGAUGAGUCUUCCCUGACAGUUUAACUGUCCUAAAGGGUUGUUCGAGACUAGAACGUUGAUAGGCAGGGUGUGUAAGCGUUGUGAGGCGUUGAGCUAACCUGUACUAAUUGCCCGUGAGGCUUAACCAUACAACACCCAAGGGGUUUUGUA